RNAcentral lists this ribosomal RNA (445 nucleotides) under uncultured bacterium. RNAcentral's name for it is "bacterial SSU rRNA". It matches the Rfam family "Bacterial small subunit ribosomal RNA", at positions 340 to 779 of the family's 1533-position model. The record is from RNAcentral.
UACGGAAGGCAGCAGUGGGGAAUAUUGCACAAUGGGCGCAAGCCUGAUGCAGCCAUGCCGCGUGUAUGAAAAAGGCCUUCGGGUUGUAAAGUACUUUCAGUCGUGAGGAAGGUGUUAAGGUUAAUAACCUUAGCAAUUGACGUUAGCGACAGAAGAAGCACCGGCUAACUCCGUGCCAGCAGCCGCGGUAAUACGGAGGGUGCGAGCGUUAAUCGGAAUUACUGGGCGUAAAGGGCACGCAGGCGGUUAAUUAAGUUGGAUGUGAAAUCCCCGGGCUUAACCUGGGAAUGGCAUUCAAGACUGGUUAGCUAGAGUCUUGUAGAGGGGGUAGAAUUCCAUGUGUAGCGGUGAAAUGCGUAGAGAUGUGGAGGAAUACCGGUGGCGAAGGCGGCCCCUGGACAAAGACUGACGCUCAUGUGCGAAAGCGUGGGGAGCAAACAGGGAU